CAUAGGCUUCACCAGAACUCGAAAGGGAGCCUUGACACAAAAAGAGAUUAAGAAUUCUUGACUAAACUCUAGGCCGCAGAUGAUUUUAGGAACUGGUAAAAACGGAAGUGAGAUAAGGGCCAAUUGCUUGAGGAGAUGAAUGAUGUUUCUGGAAAAGAUGAAGCCCAGGAAAAUAUACAGAAUGGAAAUGUUUAGCUGAUGUGAAGCAGCAGCUACAACGUGGAGGCUAUGUGAGCCAACAAACAGCCAGCAAACACAUGAUCUUUCUGUAAGAUGGAGAGACAUGACAAGCAAAGGCAGCAUUGGUUUAGAGCACAAGCUCAUUUGCAAAACAUUAAAAAGAAUGUCAGAAGAUUAAAAGCAAU
This is a long non-coding RNA of Vombatus ursinus (common wombat), 365 nucleotides long. RefSeq lists it as uncharacterized. The record is from RefSeq and is a predicted model, not a curated record. NCBI's taxonomy places the organism in Eukaryota, Metazoa, Chordata, Mammalia, Diprotodontia, Vombatidae. The transcript has 3 exons.